CUGCAAGGGAGGGCCAGUCCCCGUCCCUGCGGCGGUCGCCGCAGCAGCAGCAGCAAAAGGCAGCGGUGGCGUGCAGGUCCAGCCGUCUCGGUGACCGUGCUCCCCGAAGGACACCAGCCCAAUGGAGAUGGUCUGCAGGAAUGGCCGGAUGGCAGGCGUGAACUGUGGAGAGACGCGGCUGCGUCACCCACCGCUCAAGAGAGGGAUGGGGACAGGGCAGGAGCGAGGCACAGGGAUGUGCGGGGAAGACACAUUCAUUCAGUAAACG
This 268-nucleotide long non-coding RNA is filed under the name Homo sapiens (human). Its description in RNAcentral is "HSALNT0260239". Lineage: Eukaryota; Metazoa; Chordata; Mammalia; Primates; Hominidae. The record is from RNAcentral.